This 767-nucleotide ribosomal RNA is filed under the name uncultured bacterium. RNAcentral's name for it is "bacterial SSU rRNA". It matches the Rfam family "Bacterial small subunit ribosomal RNA", at positions 8 to 766 of the family's 1533-position model. The record is from RNAcentral.
AGGGUUUGAUCCUGGCUCAGAUUGAACGCUGGCGGCAGGCUUAACACAUGCAAGUCGAGCGGUAACAGGGGUAGCUUGCUACCCGCUGACGAGCGGCGGACGGGUGAGUAAUGCUUGGGAAGCUGCCCGAUAGAGGGGGAUAACAGUUGGAAACGACUGCUAAUACCGCAUAACCUCUUCGGAGUAAAGCGGGGGAUCUUCGGACCUCGCGCUAUCGGAUGCGCCCAAGUGGGAUUAGCUGGUUGGUGAGGUAAUGGCUCACCAAGGCGACGAUCCCUAGCUGGUCUGAGAGGAUGAUCAGCCACACUGGAACUGAGACACGGUCCAGACUCCUACGGGAGGCAGCAGUGGGGAAUAUUGCACAAUGGGCGAAAGCCUGAUGCAGCCAUGCCGCGUGUAUGAAGAAGGCCUUCGGGUUGUAAAGUACUUUCAGCGAGGAGGAAAGGGUGUACGUUAAUACCGUGCACCUGUGACGUUACUCGCAGAAGAAGCACCGGCUAACUCCGUGCCAGCAGCCGCGGUAAUACGGAGGGUGCGAGCGUUAAUCGGAAUUACUGGGCGUAAAGCGCAUGCAGGCGGCUGAUUAAGCCAGAUGUGAAAGCCCGAGGCUCAACCUCGGAAUCGCAUUUGGAACUGGUCAGCUAGAGUUCUUGAGAGGGUGGUAGAAUUCCAGGUGUAGCGGUGAAAUGCGUAGAGAUCUGAAGGAAUACCAGUGGCGAAGGCGGCCACCUGGCAAGUAACUGACGCUCAGAUGCGAAAGCGUGGGG